GACGAACGCUGGCGGCGUGCUUAACACAUGCAAGUCGAACGGAAAGGCCCUGCUUUUGUGGUUUGCUCGAUUGCCGAACGGGUGAGUAACACGUGUGUAACCUGCCCUUGACUUUGGGAUAACUUCAGGAAACUGGGGCUAAUACCGGAUAGGAUCUCCUGCUGCAUGGUGGGGGUUGGAAAGUUUCGGCGGUUGGGGAUGGACUCGCGGCUUAUCAGCUUGUUGGUGGGGUAGUGGCUUACCAAGGUUUUGACGGGUAGCCUGCCUGAGAGGGUGACCGGCCACAUUGGGACUGAGAUACGGACCAGACUCCUACGGGAGGCAGCAGUGGGGAAUAUUGCAGAAUGGGCGGAAGCCUGAUGCAGCAACGCCGCGUGCGGGAUGACGGCCUUCGGGUUGUAAACCGCUUUCGCCUGUGACGAAGCGUGAGUGACGGUAAUGGGUAAAGAAGCACCGGCUAACUACGUG
RNAcentral lists this ribosomal RNA (468 nucleotides) under uncultured bacterium. Its description in RNAcentral is "partial 16S ribosomal RNA". It matches the Rfam family "Bacterial small subunit ribosomal RNA", at positions 28 to 507 of the family's 1533-position model. The record is from RNAcentral.